AUCAAAGCCUUUUCAUCAACGUGACUUCUGUGAUGAAGGUCAAUGACAGUUUGACCGUUGAUGGCAUAGAUUUUUAUGUAACUAGUCAGUAUGUAGAGGAGUUAUUUAAUUCAUGCAAGGAUGUGAAAUUUGGGACUAUGAACACUCGUGCAAUGGAUUUUGUUGGUGCAGGUGCUCAAAAUUACAAAGAGUGGCUUGCAUUUGUUGGUCAUCAAGCAAAUCC
Molecule: non-coding RNA, 223 nt
Organism: Phoenix dactylifera (date palm)
Lineage: Eukaryota; Viridiplantae; Streptophyta; Magnoliopsida; Arecales; Arecaceae
Source: RefSeq, a predicted model, not a curated record